ACGCUCGACACCUACGGGAGGCUGCAGUUGGGAAUAUUGGACAAUGGAGGGAACUCUGAUCCAGUGACGCCGCGUGAAGGAAGAAGGUCUUCGGAUUGUAAACUUAUUUUAUCAGGGAAGAAAGAAAUGACAGUACCUGAAGAAGAAGGACCGGCUAACUACGUGCCUGCAGCCGCGGUAAUCUGAGCGGGCUGGCAAGGC
Molecule: ribosomal RNA, 201 nt
Filed under: uncultured bacterium
Lineage: Bacteria
Description: partial 16S ribosomal RNA
Rfam family: Bacterial small subunit ribosomal RNA
Source: RNAcentral